ACUUAAAUAAUUUAAAUAGGGUAAAAUAUUGAUUUGUGGAGUCAAAUAUAUGAGAAGUUCAUCAUUUUAAGUU
This 73-nucleotide transfer RNA is filed under the name Limenitis cleophas. RNAcentral describes it as "tRNA-His". The record is from RNAcentral. Lineage: Eukaryota; Metazoa; Arthropoda; Insecta; Lepidoptera; Nymphalidae.